This is a non-coding RNA of Chelonia mydas (Green sea turtle), 82 nucleotides long. Lineage: Eukaryota; Metazoa; Chordata; Testudines; Cheloniidae. The record is from Rfam.
GACGAGGUGGCUGAGUGGUUAAGGUAAUAGACUGCUAAUCCAUUAUGCUUUGCACACAUGGGUUCAAAUCCCAUCUUUGUUG